GGUUAUUUAGUUUAAAAAAAACAAAUGUUUUGAAAGCAUUAAAUAAAUAUAUUUUUAAUAGCCA
This 64-nucleotide transfer RNA is filed under the name Tenuipotamon yuxiense. RNAcentral describes it as "tRNA-Ser". It matches the Rfam family "tRNA". From Rfam's summary of the family: Transfer RNA (tRNA) molecules are approximately 80 nucleotides in length. Their secondary structure includes four short double-helical elements and three loops (D, anti-codon, and T loops). Further hydrogen bonds mediate the characteristic L-shaped molecular structure. tRNAs have two regions of fundamental functional importance: the anti-codon, which is responsible for specific mRNA codon recognition, and the 3' end, to which the tRNAs corresponding amino acid is attached (by aminoacyl-tRNA synthetases). tRNAs cope with the degeneracy of the genetic code in two manners: having more than one tRNA (with a specific anti-codon) for a particular amino acid; and 'wobble' base-pairing, i.e. permitting non-standard base-pairing at the 3rd anti-codon position. Lineage: Eukaryota; Metazoa; Arthropoda; Malacostraca; Decapoda; Potamidae. The record is from RNAcentral.